AUCCCCUUGCCUCUCACUUCCAAAUAUUUGCUUUAUAACAAUGUUUCAUUGGCUACAUGGAAUACUAUUGUAUUAUUGUUUUCGUAUUCAGAACAUCAAAUCACGUGCGUGUACCAAUUUACAUGUCGAAAUACCAAAUAAAAAUUUUGACCUUAAAAUCACUAUUUCAAAGUCAAAUAUGUUACCUAAAAUUGUUACACUAUAUUGUCUAUAUUCACAACAUAUUAUCCUCAAAAUCACUCAAAAAUAUUAUGAUACUUGAGUGGUUGAAAUAUCGACCAGUCCCGUCCUUAAAAGGCUAACAGCGUCUUUUCCAGUCUUUAAUUAAGUGCUGUCCCCAGCGAUCCAGCGCUAGUGUUGUGCUGACCAAGCGGCAGUAGCAAACGCCACAUUUUGUAUUCUGGACACUGCACCAAAUAAAAAUGCUGAUGUAUUUAACUAAUUGGACAUGUGGAUUGUUGAAUGAUUGGAAUAUUUGCGACGUGCCUUGGGUCGUUCACCGACGAAAAUUAACAUUAAAAAUGUAGAAAGAAUAAGUCGAUAAUCGUCCGAUCACUCUGAUUAAAAUGGUCAGUUUUUGAUACCUACACAAGAUUUUUGUUACAGUGAGGUCUCGUAGCUCCAAAAUUGAUUUAUUGUAAUUAAAAUUUAACUUGAUGUAGAUAUUAUAUUACUUAAGAUUUUUUUAAUGGAAAAUAAG
Long non-coding RNA from Phymastichus coffea, 700 nucleotides. RefSeq lists it as uncharacterized. The transcript is spliced from 3 exons. Lineage: Eukaryota; Metazoa; Arthropoda; Insecta; Hymenoptera; Eulophidae. The record is from RefSeq and is a predicted model, not a curated record.